This 497-nucleotide ribosomal RNA is filed under the name uncultured bacterium. Its description in RNAcentral is "partial 16S ribosomal RNA". It matches the Rfam family "Bacterial small subunit ribosomal RNA", at positions 28 to 507 of the family's 1533-position model. The record is from RNAcentral.
GAUGAACGCUGGCGGCGUGCCUAAUACAUGCAAGUCGAGCGAACGGACGAGAAGCUUGCUUCUCUGAUGUUAGCGGCGGACGGGUGAGUAACACGUGGAUAACCUACCUAUAAGACUGGGAUAACUUCGGGAAACCGGAGCUAAUACCGGAUAAUAUUUUGAACCGCAUGGUUCAAAAGUGAAAGACGGUCUUGCUGUCACUUAUAGAUGGAUCCGCGCUGCAUUAGCUAGUUGGUAAGGUAACGGCUUACCAAGGCAACGAUGCAUAGCCGACCUGAGAGGGUGAUCGGCCACACUGGAACUGAGACACGGUCCAGACUCCUACGGGAGGCAGCAGUAGGGAAUCUUCCGCAAUGGGCGAAAGCCUGACGGAGCAACGCCGCGUGAGUGAUGAAGGUCUUCGGAUCUAAAAACUCUGUUAUUAGGGAAGAACAUAUGUGUAAGUAACUGUGCACAUCUUGACGGUACCUAAUCAGAAAGCCACGGCUAACUACGUG